This 865-nucleotide long non-coding RNA is filed under the name Ricinus communis (castor bean). RNAcentral's name for it is "long non-coding RNA (RCOM_LNC003449)". The record is from RNAcentral. Lineage: Eukaryota; Viridiplantae; Streptophyta; Magnoliopsida; Malpighiales; Euphorbiaceae.
CAAAUACGAAUUCAAGAGUAUAUUGAUAAUAAGGGUACAAUUCGAUCAUGGUUAAUAUUAGGCAAAAAAUAUGAUCCCUUAAGUUUUGACUAAAUCUCAAUUAAACCUCUAAACUUUAAAAUAAUUCCAUUAUAUCCUUAAAAAUCUAAAACUCAGAAUUAAUUGCACCCUUAAAUGGCACCUCCGUCUAUUUCACUAUCUAUUUCAUUGUGUCCACUUAAGGUGACUAAAUAUUACUUCUAUAUAUUUAAGAAAAUUACAAAAAUAGAAAAAUAUAUAUAUUUUAUUUAUUUUCUAUAAGAAAAAUUGAUCAUCAACACAACCACUACCACCAUUGAUCACCGUUGUCCCCUAUCAAUACAACCAUUAUCACCACCACUAACUACCAUCAUCAGUGCUUCAUCAAUAUAAUCAUCAUCACCAUUAUCAGAGAUGAGCAAAUCACCCACAGGAAAAUUAACUCCCAGCACCACCACCAUCGCCACUGCCAACCCCCACUACAAUUACCACCGCCAAUCCCAUCAACCAAUAACAAAAAAUCAAAUACAGAAAAUCACUGUCACCAUAAAUCAAAUACACAAUAAGAUUGAAAGAGAAAUCAUCAUAGACGAUUUCUCAUAUUGUUAUGUGUUUCUAAGAAAUCCGGUAGUGUUGCCUUCACCAUUUGAGAAAUCAAUUUGUUAAGCAAUAAAGAUUUGACGGCAGAACGACAACAAAUCGUAACCCAUCGAGUCAUGACCUCGAGCUUGUCUUCUCCAUGGAGUCGUGACCCUCUUUCUUCUCCAGUAAAAUUAGCUUGAUUACCUGUAGUAGCCGUGCAGUUGGAGAAGAAACAUGGUUAGCGAUAGUGGAAAGGAAGAGAGAG